Molecule: non-coding RNA, 75 nt
Organism: Myotis lucifugus (little brown bat)
Lineage: Eukaryota; Metazoa; Chordata; Mammalia; Chiroptera; Vespertilionidae
Source: Rfam
GGCAGUUCUCAGGUGACGCACCCCGGAAUCAGGCUCCCUCCUCUCUGGCUCUGGAUGCGUCACCCAAGAACCACU